UACGGAGUUACAAAGGACGACAUUAGACGAAUCAUCUGGAAAGAUGAAUCAAAGAAGGUAAUAAUCCUGUAGUCGAAAAUGUUGUCUCUCUUGAGUGGAUCCUGAGUACGACGGAGCACGUGAAAUUCCGUCGGAAUCUGGGAGGACCAUCUCCUAAGGCUAAAUACUCUCUAGUGACCGAUAGUGAACCAGUACCGUGAGGGAAAGGUGAAAAGCACCCCGGAAGGAGAGUGAAAUAGAACCUGAAACCGUGUGCUUACAAGUAGUCAGAGCCCGUUAAUGGGUGAUGGCGUGCCUUUUGUAGAAUGAACCGGCGAGUUACGAUUUGAUGCAAGGUUAAGCAGUAAAUGUGGAGCCGUAGCGAAAGCGAGUCUGAAUAGGGCGUUUAGUAUUUGGUCGUAGACCCGAAACCAGGUGAUCUACCCUUGGUCAGGUUGAAGUUCAGGUAACACUGAAUGGAGGACCGAACCGACUUACGUUGAAAAGUGAGCGGAUGAACUGAGGGUAGCGGAGAAAUUCCAAUCGAACCUGGAGAUAGCUGGUUCUCUCCGAAAUAGCUUUAGGGAUAGCCUCAAGUGAUGAUUAUUGGAGGUAGAGCACUGUUUGGACGAGGGGCCCCUCUCGGGUUACCGAAUUCAGACAAACUCCGAAUGCCAAUUAAUUUAACUUGGGAGUCAGAACAUGGGUGAUAAGGUCCGUGUUCGAAAGGGAAACAGCCCAGACCACCAGCUAAGGUCCCAAAAUAUAUGUUAAGUGGAAAAGGAUGUGGCGUUGCCCAGACAACUAGGAUGUUGGCUUAGAAGCAGCCAUCAUUUAAAGAGUGCGUAAUAGCUCACUAGUCGAGUGACACUGCGCCGAAAAUGUACCGGGGCUAAACAUAUUACCGAAGCUGUGGAUUGUCCUUUGGACAAUGGUAGGAGAGCGUUCUAAGGGCGUUGAAGCAUGAUCGUAAGGACAUGUGGAGCGCUUAGAAGUGAGAAUGCCGGUGUGAGUAGCGAAAGACGGGUGAGAAUCCCGUCCACCGAUUGACUAAGGUUUCCAGAGGAAGGCUCGUCCGCUCUGGGUUAGUCGGGUCCUAAGCUGAGGCCGACAGGCGUAGGCGAUGGAUAACAGGUUGAUAUUCCUGUACCACCUAUAAUCGUUUUAAUCGAUGGGGGGACGCAGUAGGAUAGGCGAAGCGUGCGAUUGGAUUGCACGUCUAAGCAGUAAGGCUGAGUAUUAGGCAAAUCCGGUACUCGUUAAGGCUGAGCUGUGAUGGGGAGAAGACAUUGAGUCUUCGAGUCGUUGAUUUCACACUGCCGAGAAAAGCCUCUAGAUAGAAAAUAGGUGCCCGUACCGCAAACCGACACAGGUAGUCAAGAUGAGAAUUCUAAGGUGAGCGAGCGAACUCUCGUUAAGGAACUCGGCAAAAUGACCCCGUAACUUCGGGAGAAGGGGUGCUCUUUAGGGUUAACGCCCAGAAGAGCCGCAGUGAAUAGGCCCAAGCGACUGUUUAUCAAAAACACAGGUCUCUGCUAAACCGUAAGGUGAUGUAUAGGGGCUGACGCCUGCCCGGUGCUGGAAGGUUAAGAGGAGUGGUUAGCUUCUGCGAAGCUACGAAUCGAAGCCCCAGUAAACGGCGGCCGUAACUAUAACGGUCCUAAGGUAGCGAAAUUCCUUGUCGGGUAAGUUCCGACCCGCACGAAAGGCGUAACGAUUUGGGCACUGUCUCAACGAGAGACUCGGUGAAAUCAUAGUACCUGUGAAGAUGCAGGUUACCCGCGACAGGACGGAAAGACCCCGUGGAGCUUUACUGUAGCCUGAUAUUGAAAUUCGGCACAGCUUGUACAGGAUAGGUAGGAGCCUUUGAAACGUGAGCGCUAGCUUACGUGGAGGCGCUGGUGGGAUACUACCCUAGCUGUGUUGGCUUUCUAACCCGCACCACUUAUCGUGGUGGGAGACAGUGUCAAGCGGGCAGUUUGACUGGGGCGGUCGCCUCCUAAAAGGUAACGGAGGCGCUCAAAGGUUCCCUCAGAAUGGUUGGAAAUCAUUCAUAGAGUGUAAAGGCAUAAGGGAGCUUGACUGCGAGACCUACAAGUCGAGCAGGGUCGAAAGACGGACUUAGUGAUCCGGUGGUUCCGCAUGGAAGGGCCAUCGCUCAACGGAUAAAAGCUACCCCGGGGAUAACAGGCUUAUCUCCCCCAAGAGUUCACAUCGACGGGGAGGUUUGGCACCUCGAUGUCGGCUCAUCGCAUCCUGGGGCUGUAGUCGGUCCCAAGGGUUGGGCUGUUCGCCCAUUAAAGCGGUACGCGAGCUGGGUUCAGAACGUCGUGAGACAGUUCGGUCCCUAUCCGUCGUGGGCGUAGGAAAUUUGAGAGGAGCUGUCCUUAGUACGAGAGGACCGGGAUGGACAUACCUCUGGUGUACCAGUUGUCGUGCCAACGGCAUAGCUGGGUAGCUAUGUGUGGACGGGAUAAGUGCUGAAAGCAUCUAAGCAUGAAGCCCCCCUCAAGAUGAGAUUUCCCAACUUCGGUUAUAAGAUCCCUCAAAGAUGAUGAGGUUAAUAGGUUCGAGGUGGAAGCAUGGUGACAUGUGGAGCUGACGAAUACUAAUCGAUCGAAGACUUAAUCAA
This 2611-nucleotide ribosomal RNA is filed under the name Staphylococcus aureus DAR5892. RNAcentral describes it as "bacterial LSU rRNA". It matches the Rfam family "Bacterial large subunit ribosomal RNA", at positions 309 to 2925 of the family's 2925-position model. Lineage: Bacteria; Bacillati; Bacillota; Bacilli; Caryophanales; Staphylococcaceae. The record is from RNAcentral. RNAcentral also lists the same sequence under 1 other name.